UAAAUAUAAACAAAAUAAAAAUCAUAGUAAUAAAAAUGAAAGAGGAAAACUGUAAGUGCUGGAUUGCUCUUGUUAUCUCGUUCUUUGAUAUUUAGU
RNAcentral lists this non-coding RNA (96 nucleotides) under Aurantiochytrium limacinum. The record is from RNAcentral. Lineage: Eukaryota; Bigyra; Thraustochytrida; Thraustochytriidae.